UUGAGUCCAGCUCUUCUUCUGCCACAGUUGGUUUGGCUGUUAGUUUGGCUGUUUGCAUCCUGAUUAUAUUGUUACUUGUGUUUUUUGUGUGGAAACGCAACACAAACAAGACCAAGAGAAAGCACAGGGAUCAAACUGAUGCAGGAACAAGAGAGACGCUAAUGCCAAAUGAAACCAGCCAGAGUUUCCAGACCUUGAAGGCAGAGCUCACUGAGGAGAAGCAGCAGAGUGAGGAUGCAAAGAAGAAACUUCAAGCAGAGUUGAACAACAAGGUAAAAGAGG
This is a long non-coding RNA of Dicentrarchus labrax (European seabass), 282 nucleotides long. RefSeq lists it as uncharacterized. NCBI's taxonomy places the organism in Eukaryota, Metazoa, Chordata, Actinopteri, Moronidae. The record is from RefSeq and is a predicted model, not a curated record. The transcript is spliced from 3 exons.